RNAcentral lists this ribosomal RNA (497 nucleotides) under uncultured bacterium. RNAcentral's name for it is "partial 16S ribosomal RNA". It matches the Rfam family "Bacterial small subunit ribosomal RNA", at positions 28 to 507 of the family's 1533-position model. The record is from RNAcentral.
GAUGAACGCUGGCGGCGUGCCUAAUACAUGCAAGUCGAGCGAACGGACGAGAAGCUUGCUUCUCUGAUGUUAGCGGCGGACGGGUGAGUAACACGUGGAUAACCUACCUAUAAGACUGGGAUAACUUCGGGAAACCGGAGCUAAUACCGGAUAAUAUUUUGAACCGCAUGGUUCAAAAGUGAAAGACGGUCUUGCUGUCACUUAUAGAUGGAUCCGCGCUGCAUUAGCUAGUUGGUAAGGUAACGGCUUACCAAGGCAACGAUGCAUAGCCGACCUGAGAGGGUGAUCGGCCACACUGGAACUGAGACACGGUCCAGACUCCUACGGGAGGCAGCAGUAGGGAAUCUUCCGCAAUGGGCGAAAGCCUGACGGAGCAACGCCGCGUGAGUGAUGAAGGUCUUCGGAUCGUAAAACUCUUUUAUUAGGGAAGAACAUAUGUGUAAGUAACUGUGCACAUCUUGACGGUACCUAAUCAGAAAGCCACGGCUAACUACGUG